ACAAAAAUCGAUUUACAAAAUUAUCCAACAAAAUACAAACACUCAAUAAGCAGUAUCACUUGCAAUUGAUCCAUUUCAAAGAAAGUACUACCAGGAGUGGCUAAAGCAACAGAAAUGCAAAUGUUAACACUGCUUUUAAGUUUUUGUUUUUCGCUUUCAACUGCUUUUUAUUUCCACGUGGGGGAACGAGAGGAGAAAUGCAUAAUAGAAGACAUUCCAAGCGACACCUUGAUAACAGGGACUUUCAAGAUGCAGCAAUGGGACAUAGACAGAUAUGAUUUCCUUGAAUCUGCUCCUGGUUUGGGAAUGUUUGUGACGGUUACAACUUACAAUAAUGAGGUAUUAUUGUCAAAGUUAUAUGGCCCACAAGGAGCAUUCUAUUUUACUUCACAUUCACCUGGUGAACACAUCAUUUGCUUAGAAUCUAAUUCUACGAGGCUGGUGUCCUUUGGAGGGAGUAAGCUGCGGAUCCACUUAGAUAUUCGAGUCGGAGAACAUGACCUUGAUGCAGCCAUUGCUCAAGCAAAGGACAAAGUUAAUGAAGUUAGCUUCAAGCUUGAACAUCUAAUUGAGCAAAUUGAGCAAAUAGUCAAAGAACAAAACUAUCAAAGGGACCGUGAAGAAAAUUUUCGAAUGACCAGCGAAGAUACAAAUAGCAAUGUUUUAUGGUGGGCUUUUGCACAAACAUUAAUCUUUAUCUCAGUUGGAAUUUUCCAAAUGAAGUCCCUUAAAGACUUCUUUAUAGCUAAGAAGCUUGUUUAAAAUGUCAAUAAAGACAAACAACCACCUGCUAA
Equus caballus (horse) is the source of this 794-nucleotide RNA transcript. RefSeq lists it as uncharacterized. Lineage: Eukaryota; Metazoa; Chordata; Mammalia; Perissodactyla; Equidae. The record is from RefSeq and is a predicted model, not a curated record.